This is a long non-coding RNA of Marmota monax (woodchuck), 617 nucleotides long. RefSeq lists it as uncharacterized. The record is from RefSeq and is a predicted model, not a curated record. The transcript has 2 exons. Lineage: Eukaryota; Metazoa; Chordata; Mammalia; Rodentia; Sciuridae.
UUGGGGACCCCCGGCGGGAGGAACAGCAGGUGGUCACACACUCCCGCCGCAUCCCUACCGUUUGGUAGGUGUAGGGUGGGAGCGGGAAUUGCAUACCUACAAAUGUCCAGGUGAUGCCGAAGCUACUGACCCAGAGCGCACACUCUGAAAGCCACUUUUCUAGGGUGCUCCUACCAUGAAGAAGCAGUUACAGGCGGGAAACCUCUUCAGAAGUCGGAUGUACACAGAUCUCUGCAGACAAUGGAGAGCCAAGGAGACCUUGGAGCUGGCAAAGGCAUUUCCUGUCUGUGGAGGAUCUUGACUUUGGAGCAUCCGGCAGGCGGUCGCCCAUGAGGUUUUCGAGGCGAACGAACACUUUCCUGUGUAGCGGUUUAAAAAAGACCAAGAUGAUGAAAGAAAAAAAGAAAAGUCAUUGCCAACUUCAGGCGAUUUUCCAUAUGAAAGCCAGCGGAGCUGCUUCCCAUUUAAUUUUUGUCAUUGUUGUUGAAUGCAUAUUUUCUAACCAUUAAUUAGAAUACUUUUUAAUUUGAAAGGGAGGUUGAUAUUAUUGAAAAAUCUUAAAUAUUAAAAAAUCUCCAGUUGGGCAUGGUGGUGCCCACUGUAAUGUCAACUACUCA